UCAGAGCCGUGGAAGACGACCACGUUGAUAGGCCGGGUGUGGAAGUGCGGCAACGCAUGAAGCUUACCGGUACUAAUAGCUCGAUUGGCUUGAUCGU
Molecule: ribosomal RNA, 97 nt
Filed under: Rhizobium pantanalense
Lineage: Bacteria; Pseudomonadati; Pseudomonadota; Alphaproteobacteria; Hyphomicrobiales; Rhizobiaceae
Description: partial 23S ribosomal RNA
Rfam family: Bacterial large subunit ribosomal RNA
Source: RNAcentral